RNAcentral lists this long non-coding RNA (5561 nucleotides) under Homo sapiens (human). RNAcentral's name for it is "non-protein coding TUG1:32". The stretch from base 595 to 831 matches the Rfam family "Taurine upregulated gene 1 conserved region 3". Lineage: Eukaryota; Metazoa; Chordata; Mammalia; Primates; Hominidae. The record is from RNAcentral.
GUUUUUUAAUUCUAAAUUUUGAUCUAGGGAGCCCUCAGACAUAAGGAGAAACCAAUAUGUUGAAUGAUGGGGUAUUACAUACAGAAGGACCAAGACCUUAUUUUCUCCUACUUAAGAUGGAAUCUUGUUAAGAUGAAAGGACAGCUUUUUAAAAGGAGAAGGUCAUAAGACAGUUUGAGGAAGGCAUUGGAAGAGGAAGAGGGGCAAUGUCUCCUUUGUUUUAUUGUUGGUAUAUAAACUUAAAAUCUCAGUUCUUUUUAUGGCACUUGUGGAGCCACUUCCUCUCCUCACCAAAAAAUGCCCAGUACCCUGAAUCCGAUCAAAUUACUCUCCUAAAGUAUAAGGCUUAGUUUCUGUGUGCUGCUUCGCGAGACAGUUCCCACAAAUCGAGAGUGUUAAUCAGACUUUUGUGUUUUCUUUUUUGGAUUGCUGUUGUUUGUUUUCAUUUAUCAUUUGUCUUUGCCUAAGCCAGGCUCAUCAAGAAUUAACAGCCAUCAGGCUGCCGAUGUGCUGACAGCAGACCCACUUAGAGUCCUGUGUUUGUAAUUCCAUGCAUUUGUUAUUUUACCUGUUUUGUCCCUGCCCCUUCUAGUCCUGUGCCUCCUGAUUGCUGAGUGUUCACCUGGACCUUCUGACUACCUUCCCUGUGCUAUUCCAUCAGCCUACAGACCUGGUACCUGGAUUUUUGCCCGAGAUGAUUCCUACCACCUUACUACUGACGAAGACACCCAUUCCAGUGGACCACUGUGACCCAGGAGGCAUUCAGCCAUCAUGAUGUGGCCUUUACCUCCACUCCUGUCUUGUUCUACCCAGAUUCAGCACAGCCCUUUAUAGUGAAGUCAGAGUCCUCAAGCCAAAUAGCUAAAGCUGUUUUAUCACAACAAAGGCCUAGUUUGUUCCAUGAGUGUGCAUUUCAUUUCUUCAGUUAAAGCCUUCAGAGACACACAAUAAAUUUGGACCAGGGGAUUUUUUAGUUAUUAAUGCUCUCUGAAGAAAGGCAACAUCUUUUUGAGAGCAGCAUUGGACCACACCCCACAAUCUCAAAUGAUUGAAAUUCAUGAACAUCUAGGAUCCCGUGAAGGUCACUGGACCCUGUUUUUUCUACUUCAAAUCCUGUAGUAGCCUACUGAAUGAGAAAACAUAUUCUGACCCAUUGGGAUCAAAUCAAAGGCACAGUGAACUCCUCAUAGCAUCUUCUUUGGAAUUACUCAGGAACCAGAACUUUUUACACAAAUGUAAGAAAUUCUACCAAGGAGUCCCCUUACCUAACAGCAUCUCACAAGGCUGCACCAGAUUCCAGAAAAGGCUUCUCUUGAUACAUCAAGGUAGAACCUCUAUGCAUUUUGUGACCGACUUAUUCUUAGAUCAUUGGUUUUCCAAAGGCUUUGUGGCCAUGAAGCCCUUUGAGUGAAAACUGUGCAGAAGCCCAGAGUAAAAGUGAAGCUGCUCUGGAUGAAGUAGUGAAGCAAGAGUAGGGGCCUGAAUCCUGCUACAACUAUCUUCCUUUACCACCGUGGUGACACCUAAGGGGACUUCCUUACAACACCUUGAACUCUUCCGAACACAGUUUGAAAACCACUGCCCCAGACAGCAAUAUGUUUGACCUGAAUGGCAUUCCAAUCUUUUCUGUACCUCCACUCAGCACAGUUCAUGUUCAGUAGAUGCUGAACAUUCUUAGAAAUACUGUGUGUGAACUUAGAAAAGUGCAAGAAGACAGGCAUGUCUUUGACCCCAGGAAUGAUCAUUUGCUGAAGAUGGUGUCAAGUGAACCUAGAUUAACAGCCCUCCACUCCAGAUGGAUAUCCAGUGAUUCCUAGAAUGGGAUAUAGCCAGAGAACAAUUCUAUGCACCCUACACUGACAGACUCCCUUAAGCAACACCAGAUGCUCUACUGGUACUUGAAGUACAUGACUUUGAAGUCUUGACCCUCCAUGAAUACCUGAAUUAUCAGCAAGCGGGUUUUGAAGCUGGUGCCUCAUUGAGGCCAUAUUAGAGCAACUUGUACAUUUGACCUCUUGUUAUCAGCCAUGGUACUCUACUUCGUGUGCAAGAGAUAACUAUGAAAGCCAAAUUCAAAUACUGGCAACAUUUCCUAAAGGGGCUCAAUAUCUAUCAUUCGUCUUCUUUUCCAAACUACACAUCACUGUAUGACUCAACCAGUAGCAGUUAUAUUGCCCCUUGGUUUUUAUUCAGUUUAACUACUGUUUCCAAGAUAAAUGAGCUAAUAAGCUUUAAAAAAAAAAAAAAAAAAGGCUGAAUUCUUUUUUCUUCAUCACUGGCAUAUCUGCCUAUUCUCCAGAAUUAUUAUGACUAUUCAGCUCACUUUAACAGUUGAACUUCAAGCGACAAUCUUUGAACACCCCUUCUCAUGUGAUUUAAAAUGAAACCAUUUGGAAAAGUUUCUUCUAGCCAGUAAUAGAUUUUUUUUUUAAUUGCUCUGCCUUGUGCCGAGAGAUGUUCUUUUAAGAUGAAUCUUUUGAUGUCUGAUACCACCAAAUAUAGGUGGUAGGGAGAGUUGGAGGCUGGCCCUUUGAGCAGGCCAUUAGCUUACUUGCUGGGCAUUUCCGAUAGCUUAUUGCCUACCUUUUUGCUGGAAACAAACUGAUUUGAAAAACAAAAUCUAUGAAGACUGCAGCUAAGGAUUUUAUCGGUAGACUUAAGAGCUUUUGUCCUUGUGGAUAUUUUAGUGGAACCACAUCAGUCUCAAUACUGUCAUUUUACACUGACUCAGAGCAGCUGACUUCAUUCCUUGCCAUGAUAUAUAUUUAAGGCAGGCAUUGUAACAGACAUAAAGACAACUUAUCUGUUUCAGCAGGAAGGAUUCAGUUUAUGAACUCUCAGACCAGAUCAUGUUGAACAAGGAGACUUUGAUGUGUGUCAUGAGAAAACUCAUUCUUUACUUCCCAGUCAAUUUAAAGGCCAGCUAUCCUGAGCUACUCGAAUGAAUGCACUGGUUAAACAUUGGAAAUAGUUUGUUUAUAUCCUUGUCUCUCUCUAGGCCAAUUGUGAUUACAUGACUCGACUCUACAUCUCGUCAAACAAGGCCUAGGUCUGGUUGCUGUAGACUGCUCGCCCUCAACAAAUAAAAUCUGGUUGACUAGCCUCCUUGUAUAUACAACUAUUAUUUGUUAAGAAGAAAUUAUCGUCAAUUUUCUACUACCUUCCAAUUGUCAGCUCUUUUUUUCCUCUCUGGUUUUUCCUAUACUUUACAGAAAAAGACAUUGAUCUAUACUGCCAUUCCCUCUAAUCCUGCCAUACUCAGUCAAAAGGAAUGACUUAAGAUGAAGAUGAUCAUCUGCUCGAGUCUAAAAUAUACAUUGUAUAUAAGAAUUGGUGAUUAGAAAAGCAAAAAACCUAAAACUUAAAUCUAGGAGUCUGUAUACUGUCUCCAUGUCUCCAUGCCUCAGAUCUCAUCUAAAUCUUUGAACAGCACCAUUCAACCAAUCUGAGGCCUUGACUUGCUUGUAAGAUGAUUCUCAGAGAUCGGCUGAGUUAAAAAAGAUGACGACUUGAUUACCAAAGAAAGUAGGGCCAACUUUGACAAAUCUGGCUCUGCUGACCCUGUCACUCCCAGAUGUAGCAUAGACUCCUAAACAGAACCUCAAGUCUGAUUGAGGAUAAGGCCUUCUCCUGAGCUGAAAGUUCUUUGGCAGAUGAGCAAGAAACUGAAAGCUGAUGUACCUGACUGGCUCUGUAAGAUCAGAAAACUGUAUCCAGAAUAAGCCCUAUGGAUUAACCCCUGAGUACCCAGAGUAAAAACUAAUUUACAGAACUUCCUUAUUGAUCUGCUGGUUCUUCCAGAUCAUAUUCUGGCUAUUGGUAUGGCUGGCCUUUCUGAAGGUACCCUGCUUGUCUAUUUUCCUGACUCAGCUCUUGCCUGCCUUUUUCACAUGUUGCUGCAAUUAGACUCACCGUGAGGACUACAGUCAAUUUCAGUCUAUCUUGUGCCCAAUACAACAAGGAUUUUUAAUAGUAACAACCCACACCUCACCCACUAGGACUCAAUGUUCACAACAGGAAGGACCAUUGCUGCAUACUCCUUGACCAGCAACUUUUUUGAAGAUAUUUUUAAGUGCAGAGUAGGCCUCUAUUCCUGUAUGUAAUUGUUCAUUUUCAGCACCUGGAACCUCAUCUAUCGGGUCUGGAAGGAAUACAGCAGUUCGAAAGCCGCGUCCAUUUCUCUCCUUCAGUAGUGCAGAAAUGAGUCCGAUUCACCAGUACACACAGAACUGUACCAGUUCAACCUAGCAAAAGAAGAAAAGUUUCCACUGUACUUAAAAUUUACAGCUGACUCAAAUUGCCUCACAGAAUUAUUUGAUGUAGAAGGCUAGUUGUCUUACUUCAGAUCAGCAGGACAGUUGGGCUCUCAGACUCAUGACCACUGAGUUUGCUUGUGUUGAAACUGUGGUUUCAUCCAACAUAUGCUAUUGGACAUGAUUAUUAUUCCAUUCAAAUGGAUUACAGACUUCUUGAGGACAGGACAAACUUAUCUCUCAUGGUGUUUUUUUAGAAUACUUUUAUAACCAAGGAAGAAACCAUGCCAGCUGUUACCAUUCAACUUCUUAAGCAGAGAUUAAGCUUUUUCAUAUCUGUUCUUAUCCUGGACAUCAGUAGUUUUUAAUUGCCCAGCAUCCGUUCCAUCUUGUAACAACUCCCUGAUGUUUCUUAAAACCACCUCUUCCUAUUUUCAGUCUGUGGUUUGGACAGUCUGACCCAACCUUGAGCUUUGUGGGUGAACAUGUAAUUCAGACCUCAUCAAUCAGCAAAUCCAUCUGAACUGUGGAGGAGAAGCUCUCUUUACUGAGGGUGCUUUAGCUUUGUAGGAUGAAAACCUCAAACUAACAGGGCCUACCAUGUAGAGAAUGAAGCCAGUGCAGGGGAAAGCAGAGCCAAAAUAUGGAGAGACUUGAAUCCUGAUGACAGCGUUUGUGCCCCUGGAUCCAACCGUGCCUGAAGCUAGAAUAUCCCCUGGACUUUUCAGUUAUGUGAACCAAUAAAUACCCUUUUUUGCUUAAGUUACUUUGAGUUGGGUUUCUGUUACUUGAAAUUGAAUCCACACUAAUAUAUCUACCAACAUUGAGACUUGACAGAUCCAAGUAUUUAUUAAGCUAGAGGUCAUGGUCACUGAAAUUACUUUCCAAAGUGGAAGACAAAAUGAAACAGGAACUGAGGGAAUAUUUAAGAUCCCACAGAAGCGUAAAAAUGACAUGGUAGAAAGUAAUAGAAAACCUAAAUGUCUGUCAUUAAAGGAUAGGUUAAGGUGUGGUUCAGCCAUAUAGGAAUAUCUCGUAUCUGUUAAAAUGAAUAAAGUACAUUCAUUGUGUAUGGAAAAAUGGCCAUGAUACAUUAGGUGAAACAAGUUAUUAAUAGAAAAGUGUACAGUGUGAACUCAUUUUAAAAUGUGUGUGCUUAUGUUUAUAAAUGCAUAGAAAGGUCUAUUCACAGCUUUCUUUGAACAGUGUAGAUCACAUGAAACUUUCAACUUUAUACAUUUCUGUAUUAAUAUUUUACACUACCCACAUUAUUUUUAAACUUUAUUUUAAAUAAAGAAUUUUUAAAAU